Mus musculus (house mouse) is the source of this 1932-nucleotide long non-coding RNA. RefSeq annotates it as predicted gene 10747. The transcript is spliced from 3 exons. Lineage: Eukaryota; Metazoa; Chordata; Mammalia; Rodentia; Muridae. The record is from RefSeq and is a predicted model, not a curated record.
CUUAAUCUAUGUCUAAGAAUUUUAUAUGCUAUACCAAAGUAUGUGGCACUGGGUUUAGCACUUAGCAGGUACUCAGUAAAUAACAGCCAGGAGCAAUACCUCUAUUGUUAUCAUUUCUAGGGACAAUGAGGGCGCUGCUUCAUGACCAUUUGUGGUCACCACUGGCUAGGCUAAAUAUAGAGGUAAGACCGCGCGAGCGCUCUGUCCAGAGACGACUUAUUAUAAUAACACAAAUACACAAAGCAAGGAGAGGACCCAAGAUAACAGCCCUUGACAUUCAAAGCCUAGCGAGGCCGGAAACUACCAGCUUCGGUCACAGUUCCGUGAGUAGGAAAUGGGGGGGUCUCACUCUGCAGACCAAGUUGGCUGGAAACUUGCCACGUAGUCUGGGCUGACCUUAAGUCCGCAGCAAGGCAUCUGCCUCGACGUGUCAAGGACUAGGGUUACAGGUAUACACCAUCAGGCCCAGCCAAGUUUUAAUUUUAAAAUAAUAAAUGCCCUUUUAAAAAAUUCUGAAGGCACUAAAGAGUGCGACUGGGUGGUUAACAUCCCCUAAUGUCAUCCCAGGUCUCCAGGAAGAUUUCUUGUAAACAGUCACCAUUACUUCUUAACAAAAAUAUUUACUCUCACACAAGGAUGUAUGCAUAAUUUUUUAUAGAUGGAAAUUAUAGAAUUGUCUGAACAUUGCUUGGGUUUUUUUUUUUUUUGUUACAGACUUCCAAGUAUUUUCUCAAGUCAAUUUAUAUAGACUUAUCUGUUUAUCUUUAACAGUUAUCUAGAUUAUAACAAGGUAAUAUAAGGAGAUCUAUACUCUAAUAAGGUAAUAUAAGGAGGAGAUCUAUACUCUAACACAGUAAUAAAGGAGAUCUAUAACACAGUAAUAUAAGGAGAUCUAUACUCUAACAAGGUAAUAUAAGGAGAUCUAUACUCUUAACAAAAUAAUAUAAGGAGAUCUGUACUCUAACACAGUAAUAUAAGGAGCUCUAUACUAUAACAGGGUAAUACAAAGAGAUCUAUACUAUAACAGGGUAAUACAAAGAGAUCUAUACUAUAACAAGGUAAUAUAAGGAGGAGCUCUAUAGUCUAACACAAUACUAUAAGGAGGAGACUCAUAACUUGGUCAAUUCACUUUUCGCCUACCCAGAUUCCAUGGGGUGCUGAAUGGGACACUGGGGCUGUGAGGAGGGAAGCGUCUGUCCCAGAGUUUACUCGGCAUCCGGGAUGACCCAAAGUGCUGCCAGUUUCAGCAUGUGAUUUGCACAUACUUUGCUGACUUGUAAAGUCACCCCAGGUGACAUUAUUUGGCCAGUGAGUGGGGAAGACUCUGGAGGAGGGGGAGGAGCCUGUUUCCUGCUGUACAGCACAGAGCCACAUCUGGGAGACACCCCUCUUCUCUUCCAGGUUUCCAGAAUGCCUUUCCAAGCUAGAACCCAGGCUAUGAUCUGCUGGCCGGACACAACAUGCAAGAUCCCACAGAGGCCAGAAGACAAUGUUGGAUCAUCACCCCACACCUCACAUCCAAAGCUGCCGUUAAAGACAGUUGUAAGCUAUCAGAUACAAGGGCUGGCUGGCGUGGAUAUGGCGUGGAUAUGAGGGCUGGCGUGGAACCUGGGUCCUCUCAAAGGGCAGCACGCGCUCUCCACCUUUGAGCCAUCUCUCCAGCCCCCAGCAGCCAGACCUUGGAGGCCCUCGUUCUUGGAACGGUCUGGCUCAUCGUUGCUUUUCUCAACUGGACGCGAUUAUGGACGAGAAGUACAGAGCUUUAAUGGCCAUUUAAAUGGGUCUGGAAAGUGUUCCCACCUCUGGAAAGUGCCCCCCCCCCGGGUGCAUUACAUUCUAAUGAAUUAAUUAAUAAUUACAUUCUAAUUAAUCUAUGCUUUUGAAGGCUAGUCAGCCUUCCUUCUUGUCCUUUGUCAAAGAGAGGAUUUGUGU